AGUGAACGCUGGCGGUAGGCCUAACACAUGCAAGUCGAACGGCAGCACAGUAAGAGCUUGCUCUUACGGGUUGCGAGUGGCGGACGGGUGAGGAAUACAUCGGAAUCUACUUUUUCGUGGGGGAUAACGUAGGGAAACUUACGCUAAUACCGCAUACGACCUACGGUUGAAAGCAUGGGAUCUUCGGACCUUGCGCGAUUGAAUGAGCCGAUGUCGGAUUAGCUAGUUGGCGGGGUAAAGGCCCACCAAGGCGACGAUCCGUAGCUGGUCUGAGAGGAUGAUCAGCCACACUGGAACUGAGACACGGUCCAGACUCCUACGGGAGGCAGCAGUGGGGAAUAUUGGACAAUGGGCGCAAGCCUGAUCAAGCCAUACCGCGUGGGUGAAGAAGGCCUUCGGGUUGUAAAGCCCUUUUGUUGGGAAAGAAAAGCAGCAGGUUAAUACCCCGCUGUUCUGACGGUACCCAAAGAAUAAGCACCGGCUAACUUCGUG
This 492-nucleotide ribosomal RNA is filed under the name uncultured bacterium. Its description in RNAcentral is "partial 16S ribosomal RNA". It matches the Rfam family "Bacterial small subunit ribosomal RNA", at positions 29 to 507 of the family's 1533-position model. The record is from RNAcentral.